This 1308-nucleotide ribosomal RNA is filed under the name Vejdovskya ignava. RNAcentral describes it as "eukaryotic LSU rRNA". It matches the Rfam family "Eukaryotic large subunit ribosomal RNA", at positions 87 to 1209 of the family's 3401-position model. Lineage: Eukaryota; Metazoa; Platyhelminthes; Rhabdocoela; Provorticidae. The record is from RNAcentral.
CGGCGAGUGAACAGGGAAAAGCCCACGCAUGAAUCCCGUAGAGUGAAUCUACUGGGAAAUGUAGCGUUUGGGCGUUUUCAUGAUGUGAAUGUGUCCUGUCCUAAGUUCGCAUGAUUGCGACUCUCAACCUCCAGAGAGGGUGUAAGGCCCGUAAGGACUAAUGCAUUUACGCUUGAAAACGCCUUAGAGUCGGGUUGCUUGAGAAUGCAGCCCUAAUCAGGUGGUAAACUCCAUCUAAGGCUAAAUACGAUCACGAUUCCGAUAGUAAACAAGUACCAUGAGGGAAAGUUGAAAAGAACUUUGAAGAGAGAGUUCAAUAGUGCGUGAAAUUGCUUAGAGGUAAGCGGGAACAGCUGAAAGUGGUGCGCUAGUUAGUGUUUGUAGUAGCUGGAUGCAUAGGGUAGUGAAUCUUUAUGGAGCGCUCUCUGUGUUGUUUGGUCAACUGCGGGCAUUUUGCUGCGUGCCUAUACCACAAGCGAUGGUCCAUCAGAGUUGAGAUUGGGAAGGUGGCGUGCAUUCUUAUGUUUGCAUUCUUUACAGCCCAAUGGAAACUACUGAUGUGCUCUAUUGUAUUCGGCCUGACUGUGCGUAUCCGAAUUCUCUUUGUUUGUUACUGGCGACGGACCUUUAUGGGUCUUAGUUAGUAAUGGGCUUAGAAGGAAUUGGCUCUAUGUAUGGAGAAGACUUUGUGGUUCCAAAAGUAGGUAGUGUUCCCGGCCCGUCUUGAAACACGGACCAAGGAGUUUAGUUUGUGCGCAAGUCAAUGGGAAUUACGAAACCCAAAGGCGAAAUGAAAGUAAAGGAUUCUUUAUGGAGUCUGAGGUGUGAUCUGUGUUCCUCGGAAUGCGGCGCAGCACCGACUCGUCCAAGACUAUUUUAGUCGGGCGACGUGAGAGCGUACAGACUGAGACCCGAAAGAUGGUGAUCUAUGCUUGUGUAGGCUGAAGCCAGAGGAAACUCUGGUGGAGGGCCGCAGCGGUUCUGACGUGCAAAUCGAUCGUCAAACAUGAGUAUAGGGGCGAAAGACUAAUCGAACCAUCUAGUAGCUGGUUCCCUCCGAAGUUUCCCUUAGGAUAGCUGGCACUCAGAGAAAAAUCAGUUUUAUCCGGUAAAGCGAACAUUUAGACGUAAUGGGAUCGAAACGAUCUCAACGUAUUCGUGAACUUUAAAUGGGUGAGAUGUCAUUCUAGCUUUAUUGUAGUGUGACAUGGAAUGAGAGUGCCUAGUGGGCCAAUUUUGGUAAGCAGAACUGGCGCUGUGGGAUGAACCAAACGCGCGGUUAAGGUGCCUAACACAACGCUCAUGAGA